GACGAACGCUGGCGGCGUGCUUAACACAUGCAAGUCGAACGGGUCUGCCCUGUUUUUUGCGGGGUGGGUCAGUGGCGAACGGGUGAGUAACACGUGAGUAACCUGCCCCUCACUUCUGGAUAACCGCUUGAAAGGGUGGCUAAUACGGGGUGUUCUGGCUGUGCCGCACGGUGUGGCUGGGAAAGAUUCACUUUUGUGGUGUUUUGGUGGGGGAUGGGCUCGCGGCCUAUCAGCUUGUUGGUGGGGUGAUGGCCUGCCAAGGCUUUGACGGGUAGCCGGCCGGAGAGGGUGGGCGGUCACACUGGGACUGAGAUACGGCCCAGACUCCUGCGGGAGGCAGCAGUGGGGGGUAGUGCACAAUGGGCGGAAGCCUGAUGCAGCGACGUCGCGUGAGGGAUGGAGGCCUUCGGGUUGUGAACCUCUUUCGCCGGUGAAGAAGGUCCUGCUCUUUGUGGUGGGGUUGACGGUAGCCGGGUUAUGAAGCGCCGGCUAACUACGUG
Molecule: ribosomal RNA, 500 nt
Filed under: uncultured bacterium
Lineage: Bacteria
Description: partial 16S ribosomal RNA
Rfam family: Bacterial small subunit ribosomal RNA
Source: RNAcentral